RNAcentral lists this ribosomal RNA (2080 nucleotides) under Listeria monocytogenes. RNAcentral describes it as "partial 23S ribosomal RNA". It matches the Rfam family "Bacterial large subunit ribosomal RNA", at positions 852 to 2925 of the family's 2925-position model. The record is from RNAcentral. Lineage: Bacteria; Bacillati; Bacillota; Bacilli; Caryophanales; Listeriaceae.
GUUCUCUCCGAAAUAGCUUUAGGGCUAGCCUCGAGGUAAAGAGUCAUGGAGGUAGAGCACUGUUUGGACUAGGGGCCCUUCUCGGGUUACCGAAUUCAGAUAAACUCCGAAUGCCAUGUACUUAUACUCGGGAGUCAGACUGCGAGUGAUAAGAUCCGUAGUCGAAAGGGAAACAGCCCAGACCACCAGUUAAGGUCCCCAAAUAUAUGUUAAGUGGAAAAGGAUGUGGGGUUGCUUAGACAACCAGGAUGUUGGCUUAGAAGCAGCCACCAUUGAAAGAGUGCGUAAUAGCUCACUGGUCGAGUGACCCCGCGCCGAAAAUGUACCGGGGCUAAACAUAUUACCGAAACUGUGGAUGAACCUCUUUAGAGGUUCGUGGUAGGAGAGCGUUCUAAGGGCGGUGAAGUCAGACCGGAAGGACUGGUGGAGCGCUUAGAAGUGAGAAUGCCGGUAUGAGUAGCGAAAGAAGGGUGAGAAUCCCUUCCACCGAAUAUCUAAGGUUUCCUGAGGAAGGCUCGUCCGCUCAGGGUUAGUCGGGACCUAAGCCGAGGCCGAUAGGCGUAGGCGAUGGACAACAGGUAGAGAUUCCUGUACCAGUGCUAAUUGUUUAACCGAUGGGGUGACACAGAAGGAUAGGGAAUCGCACGAAUGGAAAUGUGCGUCCAAGCAGUGAGUGUGAGAAGUAGGCAAAUCCGCUUCUCGCGAAGCAUGAGCUGUGAUGGGGAAGGAAAUUAAGUACGGAAGUUCCUGAUUUCACGCUGUCAAGAAAAGCCUCUAGGAAGAGUAGUACUGCCCGUACCGCAAACCGACACAGGUAGAUGAGGAGAGAAUCCUAAGGUGAGCGAGAGAACUCUCGUUAAGGAACUCGGCAAAAUGACCCCGUAACUUCGGGAGAAGGGGUGCUCUAUUAGGGUGCAAGCCCGAGAGAGCCGCAGUGAAUAGGCCCAGGCGACUGUUUAGCAAAAACACAGGUCUCUGCAAAACCGUAAGGUGACGUAUAGGGGCUGACGCCUGCCCGGUGCUGGAAGGUUAAGAGGAGUGCUUAGCUUCGGCGAAGGUACGAAUUGAAGCCCCAGUAAACGGCGGCCGUAACUAUAACGGUCCUAAGGUAGCGAAAUUCCUUGUCGGGUAAGUUCCGACCCGCACGAAAGGCGCAACGAUCUGGGCACUGUCUCAACGAGAGACUCGGUGAAAUUAUAGUACCUGUGAAGAUGCAGGUUACCCGCGACAGGACGGAAAGACCCCGUGGAGCUUUACUGCAACCUGAUAUGGAAUGUUUGUACCGCUUGUACAGGAUAGGUAGGAGCCGAAGAGACGUGUGCGCUAGCAUACGAGGAGGCAAUGGUGGGAUACUACCCUGGCUGUAUGACCAUUCUAACCCGCCACGCUUAGCGCGUGGGGAGACAGUGUCAGGUGGGCAGUUUGACUGGGGCGGUCGCCUCCUAAAGAGUAACGGAGGCGCCCAAAGGUUCCCUCAGAAUGGAUGGAAAUCAUUCGCAGAGUGUAAAGGCACAAGGGAGCUUGACUGCGAGACUGACAAGUCGAGCAGGGACGAAAGUCGGGCUUAGUGAUCCGGUGGUUCCGCAUGGAAGGGCCAUCGCUCAACGGAUAAAAGCUACCCCGGGGAUAACAGGCUUAUCUCCCCCAAGAGUCCACAUCGACGGGGAGGUUUGGCACCUCGAUGUCGGCUCGUCGCAUCCUGGGGCUGUAGUCGGUCCCAAGGGUUGGGCUGUUCGCCCAUUAAAGCGGCACGCGAGCUGGGUUCAGAACGUCGUGAGACAGUUCGGUCCCUAUCCGUCGCGGGCGCAGGAAAUUUGAGAGGAGCUGUCCUUAGUACGAGAGGACCGGGAUGGACACACCGCUGGUGUACCAGUUGUUCCGCCAGGAGCAUCGCUGGGUAGCUAUGUGUGGCAGGGAUAAACGCUGAAAGCAUCUAAGCGUGAAGCCCCCCUCAAGAUGAGAUUUCCCAUUUCUUCGGAAAGUAAGAUCCCUGAAAGAUGAUCAGGUAGAUAGGUUUGGAGUGGAAGUGUAGCGAUACAUGGAGCGGACAAAUACUAAUCGAUCGAGGACUUAACCAAAA